This is a long non-coding RNA of Zea mays, 442 nucleotides long. RefSeq lists it as uncharacterized. The transcript is spliced from 3 exons. The record is from RefSeq and is a predicted model, not a curated record. Lineage: Eukaryota; Viridiplantae; Streptophyta; Magnoliopsida; Poales; Poaceae.
ACUUAACAUACCUCAUCCAACCUCUGCUAUACCAAAUCAGUUUGGCUUAUAAAACCUUGAUUGUAUAUCAAACUGUUCUCUACUGGUUUCUUUAUCACCUUCAACAAUAGUGGGAACAACAGACUCAUGGUCACUGAUAGCAAAUGAUUCAUGAGAAGGACAAUAGGGAGUAGAUUCUGAAGAUUGAACGGGUAUAUCAAGGUGGCUGAGGGACCCAGGAGUUGUGGGGCGUCAAAGAUAAUCGGCAUGGAAUUUAGUAGUUUAUAACAGUGCCUGAAGGAGCUAGGAUUUAUGAAUCAUUCUCCACCACCUUGAGGUUUGGUUGACAUGAACAAACCUCCUGAAAUGAUAUCUGGCAAUAUGAAGGUAGGUAGGUGGAUUACUAGGGAUUGUCUCAAAGUGCCUAUUUGACGGGUCACAUCAAACUGUCGUUGAUGCUUAU